UGAACGCUAGCGGCAGGCUUAACACAUGCAAGUCGAGGGGCAUCGGGAGUAGCAAUACUUGCCGGCGACCGGCGCAAGGGUGCGUAACGCGUGAGCAACAUGCCCGUAUCAGGGGGAUAAUCCAUGGAAACGUGGUCUAAUACCCCAUAGUAAUUAUGUAAGGCAUCUUAUAUAAUUUAAAGCUUUGGUGGAUACGGAUUGGCUCGCGUGACAUUAGCUGGAUGGUAAGGUAACGGCUUACCAUGGCUACGAUGUCUAGGGGUUCUGAGAGGAAGGUCCCCCACACUGGAACUGAGACACGGUCCAGACUCCUACGGGAGGCAGCAGUGAGGAAUAUUGGACAAUGGAUGGAAAUCUGAUCCAGCCAUGCCGCGUGCAGGAAGACGGCCCUAUGGGUUGUAAACUGCUUUUGUAUGGGAGCAAUAAGGGCUACGUGUAGUCCGAUGAGAGUACCAUACGAAUAAGCACCGGCUAACUCCGUGCCAGCAGCCGC
RNAcentral lists this ribosomal RNA (493 nucleotides) under uncultured bacterium. RNAcentral describes it as "bacterial SSU rRNA". It matches the Rfam family "Bacterial small subunit ribosomal RNA", at positions 30 to 518 of the family's 1533-position model. The record is from RNAcentral.